UGUGGGGUCUCCCCAUGCGAGAGUAGGGAACUGCCAGGC
This 39-nucleotide ribosomal RNA is filed under the name Kosakonia sacchari. The record is from RNAcentral. Lineage: Bacteria; Pseudomonadati; Pseudomonadota; Gammaproteobacteria; Enterobacterales; Enterobacteriaceae.